This 635-nucleotide ribosomal RNA is filed under the name Phacelocarpus neurymenioides. RNAcentral's name for it is "SSU rRNA". It matches the Rfam family "Eukaryotic small subunit ribosomal RNA", at positions 567 to 1210 of the family's 1831-position model. Lineage: Eukaryota; Rhodophyta; Florideophyceae; Gigartinales; Phacelocarpaceae. The record is from RNAcentral.
UCAGCAGCCGCGGUAAUUCCAGCUCUGUAAGCGUAUACCAAAGUUGUUGCAGUUAAAACGCUCGUAGUCGGAGGUUGGCGGGUGACCUGGGGCGUCUUUACGGACGGAUCCAAGGCGGCCGCCUUUGUGGAGGGGGGCCCGGUGGGGCUUCACUGCGUCACCGUGGUCGCUGCCACCGUUUACUGUGAAAAAAUUAGAGUGUUCAAAGCGGGCGUUUGCCAUGAAUACAUUAGCAUGGAAUAAUAGAAUAGGACCUGUUUCCUGUUUUGUUGGUUUGUGAGGAACGGGUAAUGAUUAAGAGGGACGGUUGGGGGCAUUUGUAUUCCGGCGUCAGAGGUGAAAUUCUUGGAUUGGCGGAAGACAAACAGCUGCGAAAGCGUCUGCCAAGGACGUUUUCAUUGAUCAAGAACGAAAGUAAGGGGAUCGAAGACGAUCAGAUACCGUCGUAGUCUUUACUAUAAACGAUGAGGACUGGGGAUCGGGCAGGGCUGUAUUUUGGCCUGCCCGGCACCCUUCGGGAAACCAAAGUGUUUGCUUUCUGGGGGGAGUAUGGUCGCAAGGCUGAAACUUAAAGGAAUUGACGGAAGGGCAUCACCGGGUGUGGAGCCUGCGGCUUAAUUUGACUCAACACGGGA